CUACGGGUGGCUGCAGUGGGGAAUAUUGCGCAAUGGGGGAAACCCUGACGCAGCAACGCCGCGUGAAGGAAGAAGGCUUUCGGGUUGUAAACUUCUUUGAUCAGGGAAGAAAAAAAUGACGGUACCUGAAGAACAAGCCACGGCUAACUACGUGCCAGCAGCCGCGGUAAUACGUAGGUGGCGAGCGUUAUCCGGAAUUACUGGGUGUAAAGAGCAUGUAGGCGGAAUUAUAAGUCAGAUGUUAAAUCUUGAGGCUCAACCUCAAGCAGCAUCUGAAACUGUUUUUCUUGAGUGUCGGAGAGGAAAGUGGAAUUCCUAGUGUAGCGGUGAAAUGCGUAGAUAUUAGGAGGAACACCAGUGGCGAAGGCGGCUUUCUGGACGAUAACUGACGCUGAGAUGCGAAAGUGUGGGUAGCAAACAGGAUUAGAUACCCUGGUAGUC
This 441-nucleotide ribosomal RNA is filed under the name uncultured bacterium. RNAcentral's name for it is "partial 16S ribosomal RNA". It matches the Rfam family "Bacterial small subunit ribosomal RNA", at positions 339 to 795 of the family's 1533-position model. The record is from RNAcentral.